AACCAGCACCUCGAGUGGUCAGGAGGUUUAUUGGGCCUAAAGCAUCCGUAGCCGGUUGCAUAAGUUUUCGGUUAAAUCUAUGCGCUUAACGUAUAGGCCGCCGAAAAUACUGUGCAGCUAGGGAGUGGGAGAGGUACACGGUACUCGAUAGGAAGGGGUAAAAUCCUUUGAUCUAUUGAUGACCACCUGUGGCGAAGGCGGUGUACCAGAACACGUUCGACGGUGAGGGAUGAAAGCUGGGGGAGCAAACCGGAUUAGAAACCCCAGUAGUCC
This 273-nucleotide ribosomal RNA is filed under the name uncultured bacterium. RNAcentral describes it as "partial 16S ribosomal RNA". It matches the Rfam family "Archaeal small subunit ribosomal RNA", at positions 474 to 747 of the family's 1478-position model. The record is from RNAcentral.